GAAGCAUAUCAAUAAGCGGAGGAAAAGAAACUAACAAGGAUUCCCCUAGUAACUGCGAGUGAAGCGGGAAAAGCUCAAAUUUAAAAUCUGGCGGUCUUCUGGCCGUCCGAGUUGUAGUCUGGAGAAGCGUUUUCCGCGUUGGCCCGUGUACAAGUUUCCUGGAACGGAGCGUCAUAGAGGGUGAGAAUCCCGUCUUUGACACGGACCCCAAUGCUUUGUGAUGCGCUCUCAAAGAGUCGAGUUGUUUGGGAAUGCAGCUCAAAAUGGGUGGUGAAUUCCAUCUAAAGCUAAAUAUUGGCGAGAGACCGAUAGCGAACAAGUACCGUGAGGGAAAGAUGAAAAGCACUUUGGAAAGAGAGUUAAACAGUACGUGAAAUUGUUGAAAGGGAAACGCUUGAAGUCAGUCGCGUCGUCCGGGACUCAGCCUUGCAUCCGCUUGGUGUACUUUCCGGUCGACGGGCCAGCAUCAGUUUUGACCGCGAGAUAAAGGCGGAGGGAAUGUGGCUCUUUCGGGAGUGUUAUAGCCCUUUGUCAGAUGUCGCGGUUGGGACUGAGGAACUCAGCACGCCUUUAUGGCCGGGGUUCGCCCACGUACGUGCUUAGGAUGCUGGCGUAAUGGCUUUAAACGACCCGUCUUGAAACACGGACCAAGGAGUCUAACAUGCCUGCGAGUGUUCGGGUGGAAAACCCGUGCGCGCAAUGAAAGUGAAAGUUGGGAUCCCUGUCGUGGGGUGCACCGACGCCCGGCCCAGACCUUUUGUGACGGCGCUGCGGUAGAGCAUGUAUGUUGGGACCCGAAAGAUGGUGAACUAUGCCUGAAUAGGGUGAAGCCAGAGGAAACUCUGGUGGAGGCUCGUAGCGAUUUCUGACGUGCAAAUCGAUUCGUCAAAUUUGGGUAAUAAGGGCGAAAGAC
Molecule: ribosomal RNA, 913 nt
Filed under: Stereum sanguinolentum
Lineage: Eukaryota; Fungi; Basidiomycota; Agaricomycetes; Russulales; Stereaceae
Description: LSU rRNA
Rfam family: Eukaryotic large subunit ribosomal RNA
Source: RNAcentral